Molecule: ribosomal RNA, 559 nt
Filed under: uncultured Wolbachia sp.
Lineage: Bacteria; Pseudomonadati; Pseudomonadota; Alphaproteobacteria; Rickettsiales; Anaplasmataceae
Description: bacterial SSU rRNA
Rfam family: Bacterial small subunit ribosomal RNA
Source: RNAcentral
GGUCCUACGGGAGGCAGCAGUGGGGAAUAUUGGACAAUGGGCGAAAGCCUGAUCCAGCCAUGUCGCAUGAGUGAAGAAGGCCUUUGGGUUGUAAAGCUCUUUUAGUGAGGAAGAUAAUGACGGUACUCACAGAAGAAGUCCUGGCUAACUCCGUGCCAGCAGCCGCGGUAAUACGGAGAGGGCUAGCGUUAUUCGGAAUUAUUGGGCGUAAAGGGCGCGUAGGCUGAUUAAUAAGUUAAAAGUGAAAUCCCGAGGCUUAACCUUGGAAUUGCUUUUAAAACUAUUAAUCUAGAGAUUGAAAGGGGAUAGAGGAAUUCCUGAUGUAGAGGUAAAAUUCGUAAAUAUUAGGAGGAACACCAGUGGCGAAGGCAUCUAUCUGGUUCAAAUCUGACGCUGAGGCGCGAAGGCGUGGGGAGCAAACAGGAUUAGAUACCCUGGUAGUCCACGCUGUAAACGAUGAAUGUUAAAUAUGGGAAGUUUACUUUCUGUAUUACAGCUAACGCGUUAAACAUUCCGCCUGGGGACUACGGUCGCAAGAUUAAAACUCAAAUGAAUUGAC